This is a long non-coding RNA of Macrobrachium nipponense, 3093 nucleotides long. RefSeq lists it as uncharacterized. NCBI's taxonomy places the organism in Eukaryota, Metazoa, Arthropoda, Malacostraca, Decapoda, Palaemonidae. The transcript has 5 exons. The record is from RefSeq and is a predicted model, not a curated record.
UUUCAGGCUCUUUGUUAACCAAAGAAGUUGGGAGGUUGUAGAAAUUAUUGGAGGUGUAUUUAAGCUGAAAAGUUGAGCUACUGUGAACCAUCUUCAAGAUUAAAUACCAUCAAGGCUGAAGAUUUUAGUAAUGCUCAAGAAUUUGGCAAGUGGUUGGAGAGCAGUUGAAUUACUUUGGUCCAUGAAGCUGACAUUCAAGUUGUAAUUUUCUACAUUGGGCGGAGUUAAGAGAACUUUCCAGAUAGAACUUUCCAGAUAGAACUUUCCAGAUAGAACUUUCCAGAUAGAACUUUCCAGAUAGAACUUUCCAGAUAGAACUUUCCAGAUAGAACUUUCCAGAUAGAACUUUCCAGAUUAGCUGAAGGAUAUUUGACAUUACAUGGACGUGGUAAAGGAAACUCUUGUUAAUUUGUCUGGUUAAUGUUUAAUCAUACAGAAUAAUGUUUUUGGGGGAUGCUGGUCAAUUUAGAUUUCAAAACUUUCAAGUUUAGCAACCAAUUUGGAAGUGAACCAGGAUAUUUACUAUAUACCUUAAUUGAAAAUUUCACAGUAAAGUAAAUUCGGAGUAAUAUUUGUCAAGCCUUGUAAAUAGUCUGAUAAAAGUCAAGUUUAUUUUGGUCACGUUUUUACUGUAAAUCCUUAAUAAUUUUUACUUUUGUUGAAAAAAAAAUGAAAAGUAAGAUGAAGGUAGAUUAAAAUAUGUAGAUUUCUAGCAGCUUCAGUAAUGCACAAAUAAGAAUAAGGUUCCAACAGCCCUAAGAACAGUGAAUUACUGGCUAUUGUGAUAAAAAGAAAGUAUUACAUUUUUCAUUGGAAUGGAAGGCAGUAUUAGUUUUCUAGUAUAGGAAGGACUUUUACGUGGUCCUUGAUUGGUAUUUUUACUGAUAAACCUGUUCUUUCAGUGGUCUUUCCUGGGAACAUGGGCUUUCUUUGCAACUUAAACAAGUUUUGAUUUACGUUGUAAUUUUGAGCUAACCAUGUGUUUUUUGUAGUUUGAACUCACUGUUUGUUGCCAGGAAACUUAACAAUCUAGACCAUAUGAUAGAGAAUAGUAGCAGUCAUUGUACACUAAUGUCAAGUUAGCUAAGGUUUGUGUUACAUAGUGUUUAAAAUAAUUUGAGUAUGAAAGCCCCAUUUUAUCAACGGAAUUGUGUGCGUGUGUGGAUUCUAUCUACUAUAGAAGACGUGAAUUGUUCAAUUAAGAUGGCACAUAUUGUAGAUAAACAACCCUAAAAGACUUGAGAAAAUGAGUUCUUUGGUUUGGCUACAAAAAAUAAUCAUAAAUUGAUUCAUAUAUGGAGCAUGUAUUUUUGGUCUGAACUUGCAUUUAAGUUUUAUUUCUUUAAAUAUGACUAUUCAGUUUAGCGUAAAUUGCCAGCUGAUAUUCAUCAAGACAAUUGUCUUUAGUUACGAAAGUGCUUUUGUAAUUAAUAAAAUUAUGAUUUUGUGCACUUUAAUAUAGGUUACACUUAAAAGAUAGCUAUUUAAAAUUGGUUGAAAUUUAUGAACACAAAUUAGCAUCAUACCAACUUGACAGGUUUUGGCUGCUGCAUAAAAUGUUGCAAUGAUAAAAGGUGCAAUAAAAAAGUUUAAUACUAUUCACAAAUUAUUUUUAAACUUUAACAUUUGUUUAAACAUUAUAACUAGGGCAAUAUAGCAAGAGAAUGGUGUUACAGGUCAUAGUUCAGUCCGCUUUCCAUGGUUGAACUGAAUACUAACUACAAAAUAUAUACAAUAUCCAGUAUUCUGAAAAUUUAACUGUCCAGAUUGUAAUGUUACUAAUUUCGUUCAUAAAAUCUAAUUACCCAGAUCUUGACUGUACUCGCAUUUAGGUAAUCCUGUAGGGUAAUUCAUUAUUUUUUAUCAGCCAUGUUUUUUUUUUUUUUUUUUUAUGAAAUUCCUCUGUUUGCCCAUCACUUUACAUUAGUCUUCUAUUAAUAUCUUAUGGGCCUGUCCACACGACCGGGCCUGAUCGGCGGACCUCCCCUCUAACGGGCACACUUGACAGGCAAACAGUCAAAUUGCUCGAUGGGUCAUGUAGCAAAAUCACCAUGGUGGUGCCCGAUAGCUUGAGCUUCGACCCUGGCAGACGCACCAUGUUUAUCGUACCGCACUGAACACACUACUGGCAUCGACGGGCACGCCCACCUCUCCAUCGCCUCACCCGUAUGGACAACAUUCACCGGUGAUAUGUACAAAAAGAAAGCCUUAAAUCAGAGUGAAUAAUGAAGUCAUAGAGGAAAGAAUGACCUACUUCAUGAAGCAGCGAUCUUUUUAGUACUCAGAUAUAAAAACUAAAAAUCGAAUCUCUAGUAACCAUUGUCUAACAAGUCAGCAGGAAUCCUACUAAAGUCAAAAUCCUUGAGAUUAUUAAAUGGAAGAACCAAGUGAAGUAAGCCAGCGAACAUCUGAUCAAACUACCAGACAAGUUGUUCCCUGCUUCUGCCAGUGCACUACAGCAACUCGUGGAGGCGAGUGUGUUCUCAGCAGAAAGCAAAGAUCAAACGGGUGUUUUGUCACCUGUCCAUUUGAGAUGAUGUGUCCAACUCUCGAGACUCGUAAACAGUAAAGCUCAGAUUUCAACGUCUGGUUAUUAAGAGAUGGAAGAGGAAGUCCUCUUGUCAUUGUGGUUUUCUGCUCAAAUAUCUUUCCUAGUUCCUCUUCUCAGUAAUGAAAAACUAGGGUUUCCAAUUGUGACUUACAAGACAAGGGUAAUUUUGAUUUUAAACGAUACUUGGCAACUUAGUAGUCAGUUAUCAACAAUAACAAUACCUUAAAUUGGUAUUCCUAACUUGGCUAAUGUUAUCGAUUUUAGAAAUUCUUAGUUGACAUAGAAAACUAAUACUUUGAGUUCAGUUUAGUUUGCGUUCGACCAGAAUACGUUCUCUGUGCCCAAAAAGGUUUUCGACACUGGUCCAUAAUACUUUUUUUUUUCAUAUAAAAAUUAUUUACAUUUACAGAAUAGUCUUUUUAUAAAGCUGUUAUAUUUAUCAUUGCUCAUCUAGAUUAUCAGUUGUUGUUUACAAUAAAUUCGAUAAGAGAAAACCCUUUUAUUUCAGUUUUAAAACUUUUCGUGUCACGUUUAUAAUUUCA